CUCUAAAAGCCAGUGCGUGUGUGCCUCAGUCGAUUCUUAACUAAGGGGCCCUCUCACCACCCCCCCCACCCUUGACUGUCACCUUUAAUCGAUCAGGACACGCACACACACACACACACACGUACUUGCCUUCGCCUUUCACGACCCCCGUGUGCGACGUGGUCCGCGGGCUUGAUAGCGGCCACGAUGAUCGCGUGUGCGGCAUUACAACGGCUGGAGCGGUACGGCUCUCUCGGGCUGAAGCGACACAGCACAGAGGAUUUUGUGAGUGCGUCGCUCAAGGACGCGCGACGAGCGAACAUCUAUGCCCUGACCCUACUGAGCACGUGGAAGGAGGCGCUGCAGGCCGUCCGCGGCGGGGACGCCAACGGUGUCGCAGAUGUGUCGAAGGCACCAGCUCGCUACACAGACGCGCUCGUCUACGCUGUCAGCUUCGCGGUGGUCCUCACCACACAGCACUUGUUUGAAGUCAGCACCGCCACAGCUGCUUGUCUUGUCUUCACGGACGCCUAUGCCCAGGCACUGGAGCUCUUGACACUGCUGAAGGAGAUGACGGUAGCGAUGGGAAGCGGCGGUGCUCUGCGGAGCAACGCCUCAUCGGACGACUUUACGAAGGCGGUGGCACAUCUUCUCACGAGCUGCACGGACCUCGCCCUCUUACUGCUGGGCGGCAUCUCCACCUCCUCUGGCGCCGCUACACAGGAAGUACAGGAGUCGCAACCGGGCAGCAGCAGCGCGGAGCAGCAGCAGCAACAGCGGGAGUCGAUCCUCGCGCAGGCGCUCGUGUUGGUGGCUGCGACGGCGCAGAUGCUGCGACGCGUGCAGGCAAGCUAUCCCAUCAACGGCCUUUACCACACCCGCCCCUGCGCUGCGCUGCUGAAGGCUGUUGCGAACAAGCACAAGCAACUCCAACAGCGGCUCACGCAUGUCAGCGACAGCAGCGACGCUGCCACAGAGCAGACCCGGCGCGCUGCGCCGAACGCAUGCAGUGAAACUGCGAAGGGCGCAACGGGGCAUCAGACAACGGCGACGCGUGUGCCGGCGCUGCUGGAUGUGCUUCAUCGCUACAUCCAGCUGUGUGCGCGGCGCUCAAUCGCAGGAAGUCAGCAACAGUCAGCGGCCGCCCCAUCCGCCAGCGCGUCGGCCGCCAGUCUCUUUUCCAUCUUUUCCCUCUUCCAGCGCCUUGGCAUGCUGCACGGCGCGCUCGGCGCCGCCACAGCCCUUCCGAAAGGGCUCACGGCGCAGCUCUGCAGUGCCUGCGAAGACGUGCAGUACUGGCUGAGCCAGCUCCUGUCCAGCACCGCGUGCAACCGUGCGACUCGCUACGUCGUGUACUUCCGUGAGGACGAGCUGCGACUGAUGCAGCACAAUAUUCGCCAGGCCUCCGAGUACGCGUUGUACACCUUCGCCACUACGCCGCCGGUCGACCCGGGGCUUGUGGAGCCGCUGCUGAAGGACGGCGUUGCUGCCGACAGCAACGACGAGGCCACGCGUGCGCGCGCGGCUCUCGUGCUUGCGCAGUGGUGCGUGAGCGCACCCUUCUUUUUCGAGAGCUUCUGCCAAGGUGAAUCGUGGUCCUCCUUCGCGCAGGAGCAGCGGCGGCUUGUGCUGCUGCAGCAGUCCCGCGCGCGCCGCGGACUCGAGAGGGCGUCGCGUCGGCAGCAGCGGAAAGAGGGGGCAAAGAAAACGGCGAUGCAUCUGAACGAAGAGCACGGCAGUCGGUCUUCCUCGGUGUCCUGCGACUCCAGUGAUGCCGCCUCAGCGCACAGCAGUGGCUCCGACUCCGCGUCCUCGGCUGGCGGCCGCCAGCAGCGGCAGCGCGGCAGCGGCAGCGGUGAUGCCGAAACGGCAUCUCUUUUGUCCCUCCAAACGGCGAGCCACGCGAACCACGCUGGCGGCAGCACUUGCGGCAGUGUGACGUCACUCGCCAGCCGUGUGUCGCUUCUCUCGACGCUCUCCAAGCACUCGGCGGCCUCCUACCUUUCCUUCAUCUCCGUACUUCGGCCGUCGAUCACCGCCGGCUCAGCGGCGGGUGGUGCUGGCGCCGGUGGUAGCGCUGACGGCGAUGACGAAGCUGGCGCAGAUCGACAGAUGCACGAGUCUGAGGAUGGCAACACAAACCUUCCUCUCAUCCUGCUCGAGCAGCUCGCUCUGGGUCUUCACCGCUUCAUGGAGGCCUACCCGGCAGAGCUGCUAGACCGCUACGGGCUGCGCAGCGUAUCGUGGAGCAGCAUCGCACGCAUGUUCGCCACUGUAGAGAAGUCUCUCGUGAACACGACGAAGAUGACAGCAGGGGCGGCAGCACAACGUCAGGCCAAUCGCUUUCCCAACGAUCACGAACUGCCGCAGCCGCUCUUCAACCUCGCGCAAGACAUCCGCUACAACAAGGGGAUGGGCUAUGAGUGCCUGGGCUUGCUGUUUGCGAAGGUAGUGGCCCCGCUGCUGGACCCCACGUCAUCGCGUGCGAUCGAGUCGACAUCAUGGUCUCCACCGCAGCAGCAUCGACUUCCCAGAUCCACAGGCGAGGCAACGGGGACCGAGGACGACGACGGCAGCGAGACGGGCAGCGGCAGCGGUGCCCAUAGCGACGGCGACCGCACCGAAGAAGGGGUUUUCGUCAACGCCGCCGCCGCCGCAGCCACCGUGGGACGCGCGGUGCUGACCAUCGACGACGACCCCACGACACGCGCCUCCGUGGAGGCGGCCCUGUCGAGGUGCUUGACGGCGUACGAGACGGUGGCGCCGCAGGUGGUGGACAUGAACCUACCCACCAUCCUCCGCCUUGCUGCGCGCACCGCGGCCACAUCAGCGGGGUCGGCCACCUCACUUCGCUCCUCCGCGUCGCCCUCGUCUCUGUCGAUUGUGUUGGUGGACUUUGUGCGCGACAUUACGGCUCGUCUAGGCCGCGGCAACGACCUGCCGCACCUUGUCGAUGCCCUACUCCUGCGGGGCGACUUCGCUGCUAACGCGAGCGCCGCGGCCGCCGCCUCUUCGGUCGUGGACGACAGCGGCGAUCCGGCGUCCGCUAUCCGCUCGCUGCGUGCGGUCUUUUCGCUUCCCCCGGUGCGGCAGGCGGUUAUGGAAGCCGCCGGGGCGUCACUGGACCCAGAAAGCCUUCUGCAGCGGCUGAGCGGCGUCGCGGCGGAGCUCGAGGAAGGCAACAAGGGCAGCAACAGCAGCAGCGCUCACGAUGAGGAGCAGGUCAAACCGUCGUCCGCUGCAAGGCCUUGCCGGAAGAGGCACGAUGACGCUCGGCUGCAGCGCAUGCUUCUGGCUCUGGAACUCAUGGAAGCGCUUCUCGCUGGGGUCACACCGACGUGCGUCUCUGCGGGUGCAGUGCUGGAGCACACAACGCAACUGGAGCUGUUUCUCAACUCAUCGUUCAUGGCUGCGGUGGAGGAGCUGAAGGGCGUUUGCGGUGACGCGUUGGACGACAGGCGUGCGCUCAUGAUCCAGCACAUGUACACGAUCCGCCAGUGUCGUGCCGUGACAAUCCUUUGCCUGCAGGACCUCGGCACGCAGCAGGUGCACGACUACCUGCGCAUGCUCGAGGAUGCGCUGUGGCAGCUCACGAGUCACGUGGGCAGCCUCGUCGGAUCGCUGACACUGGCGGACUUGCAGCCGUUGCUGCGGUCACAUUCAGCGCGGUAUGGCGGCAGCGAAGUCCUUGCGCCGUCGCCGUCGGCGCUGGAACAGCUGCCGGUGCAGCUCCUGCCUUCGUCGCUCAUCCUGCAGCGCCUGUCGCUAGCGCGCGCAGUGACCGUCGCCCUCGGAACCCACGCAGGGCCCGCAGAGGAGCUCCGUGACAUGGUGUCGCACCUGUGGGACUGCCUCGGACAGGACGGGCACGACGCAGAUGAGGCAGCAGCGCCGCAGCAGCGGCGGUCGGGCGGGGUGUCGCUCUGGUUGGCGAAUCAGAUGACUGCCGAGGAGUGGGCCAGCUUGGUGGCGCUCGGCAAGGAGAAGCAUGCGCGCUCCUCGAUGAUGGCGCUCCUUCUGCGCUCCGCCGCCUUAACUUCCGCAGCGACAACAGAGACGCCGGCGUGGUUGUCGAGGUGUCUGCAGUGCAUCCCUGGAACGGUGCUGCGCGCACUCGUCGACGCAUUCGUGUCGCUCUCCGUUGAAGAUUUCUGCGAUGCGUCCCUCGCGAACGCAUCGUCGUCGUCCGCACGUCGGCGGCUCGAGCUGGCACAGCGGCAGUGGAUGGCCCUCACGACAUCGCUCGUCGCAGCGUACGCGGUGGUGGGCCACAACCCGUACUGGCCCUCGGUUGUCGCGCACACGGUGCGCUCAGUGACGCAUGUGGCGCGGGUGUGGCGGAAUCACGCGAAGGGGCGGCUUGGCUGGGCUGUCGAAACACCUGCCCAGGCCCCUCACGACUCUACCGCGGCGCACAUGUUUGCGCUGCUCACGCGACAGCUCAUCUCGCUGCUGCUGUGUACGCUGCGUAGUGAGCCACGCGCCGUAGAGGUGCUCCGCCGGGUGCUGUCGACGUUAGCGAGGGAGUCGGCGGUCGCGCCUUCAUCGGCAGCAGGGCCAUCUGUCCCAGUGCUGUCGCGCAGCGGCAUGUCCGUGGCCUACUUAAAAGCACUGACGGUGCCGGCAGCGUCACUCGGUGACCUGAGUGCGCCAACCAUGCUGACGACGUCCGACCCCACCACCGCCGCCGAUGGAGGAGGGACGGUCGAGGUGGUUGCCGCCUUGAAGGAGUUGACGUUCGAGGAUGAAGUGCGCGACGUGUGCACCGAACUCUUCGCCGCGUCCUUCGUGAAGCGCAUCUUCACUGUGACGGACCUGUGCAGUGACGGCGCGGCGGCGGCCAUGUCGGUGCCCUUGGCUACGGUCACUGUUGCCCUGCGUGCUAGCAUGAUGACGCUCGCGCUGCUCUACCAGGUCUGUGUGGCUGCCGUGCAGGCAUCGUGGCGGGCCAAGGCAACCAACGGCAGCCUGGAGGCGCUGGUGCAGACGCCAGCGGUCGUGUUCCUGCACACCGUCGUCAGUAGCUUUCACGCACGCGGCGCUGCGAGAGUGUCAAGCAGCGGCGCCUCCUCCGAUACGGCAGUCGAUGUCGUGUUGGCGGCGUUUCUCGAGCAGUUCCGCGCUCAUGACGAGGAGCACUCAGAGCAGCACUUGUUCGUCCACAUCGCAUCUGGCGCCUCAUCUGGCGAGAAGCGGCGCAGAACGCGCGACAGGACAGACGCCGGCGCUGGUGACACAGACUGCGCUGCCGGUGACCCUUCCCCCCUUCGGACGGCGAUCAUUGCGCCGUCAAGUGCUCUCGAGACGGUGGAGGAGCUGUGGCGUGACCAACUGCGAUGGACGGCGUGUACGGUGAUGCGUCUCAGCCACGCAGCCGACAGUGAGCCCAGCUCGUGCGCCACCGCGCUGCAGAGGGCGUGUCUCACGUUUCGCCAGCUCUUCGCGUGUAUGUGGUCGAGUGCUCACUUUCGGAAGCACCAGGUGCCCAAGGGUGUGGGCGGUCGUACCGGUGGCGGCGGCGGUGACGCGAGACGCGCUCGCAGCAACGGCGACAGCGAGCCGAAAGCGCGCCAGAGCCGUCUCGCGGGGGAUGUCGACGCAUUCCUCGCUGCAGUGCUCGGUCGCCCGCACGCGCCUGGGGAUGGCAGCAGCGACCGAGUCAGACGUGUAACAGGCAACGAGCUGCGCUAUCAGCUGGCGGACUUCUUUGGGGUGCCGGCGACAGCGACGGACGGAGCGGCGCGUGGUGUUGAACGCUCGCGCCACCCGUGUGACCGAAUAUGGAUGCGGCUGUCGAGUGUUGGAGGUGAGGCAGGCGUCUGUGCACUGUGGCUCUUGUGGAAGCUUCAGUGCGUUUCGGCCGCCCUCACUGACCGGCCUGCGACGGCCGAUGGCGUCAAGGACGACUCGCAGACGCGCAUGAGGACGUUCCUGUGCGCCUACUACGACUUGAACGCCAGCGUCGAAGGCGAUGCAGCGACAGCUGCCACCACCUCUACCGCUUACACCCGCCUGGUGGCGUCGCUGCGGGCGUCACCAGUUGCGCUCCGCAUUCUACCUGCUGAGGAGGCGCCGCCGCUCUUGCAUGAACACGUCCAAGCGCUGCUGACGCGCACUAUUCCAGGAGCGUCGCCUCGUGCGAGCGCUGCCGCGAGCUCGUUCGCGUUGGUAGCUCCUGCAGCGGCGGAGGUGAUCGUGCACUUGUUUUCUGUCCGCCCACGUUUGCCAGGUGGGCAGCUGCUGCCACACGCGCAGCACCUGCUCGUGUGGCUCACGCACGCAUCCUCUGCAGCCGCGUCGCUGGCAGCAGCGGGGGUGCACGGCGUGGCGGGUCCGUCCCUACCCUCACUUUGCAUCCGCGUCUGCGCCGCCGUUGCCGCGCACCCCGCCGUAUCAAGCGCGUCAGACUCGUCUGCGUUGAUUGCCACGUGGGCAUCGCCGCUGCCGCCGCAUCAGAAGCAACUGGGCGCGUGCCGCAGUGGCUGGCAGCUUCGCAACGGCAGCAGCGCUGCACAGGAGCUGCUCGACAAUGUGUGGCUGCUGCUACUCUCCCUCUUGGAAGGAUCCCGAGCGCCGCAGAGCGCUACCGCUGCUGCGUCGUCGGCGCCGCUGCUGCGCGAAAGGGAGGUGGUUCAGAUGAUCCUGCUGCUCACGAAGACCUGGCUAGGGCACUCGGCGCGCCAGCAGGUGCUGUGGUCCCGCCCUGCUAUGCUGCCGCCGCUGAUGUGCGCGCUGUUUACGUGUGUAAUGCGUGGAAUGGAGUCGCAGCAGUUCUCGCCGCGCGUGCUGAACGUGCUGGCGAGUGGGCUGGCGGCGAUGGCGGCGCACGUGGACGCGGCAACUGCGAACGAGGGCGAUGCGGAUGUCGACAGCGUUGACGGCGACGAAGACGAGGGCGAGGGUGUUGGCGAAAGGAAAGCCGAGGGGUCGGCUAGCAGCGCGCCAGCCACAACAAGCGAGGAGCGCCGCCGCCCGCAGAAGCGCCGACUCGAGGCCGGCACUGAAGCGUGGGCGGCGGGUGCCGCCAUCCCCGCGCACGUCAAGCGAGCCGCCCUCGCCGCCGUCACGUCGGCGCUCUUCGAGGUCGCGCACCACUACAUUCACAUCUUCACCGCCUUCAGCAGCGACAUGGACUUCCUCUUCACAGACUUCCUAAAGGUGCUCAGCCAACACUUCCUGCCAACCGUGACGCGGCCGCCCAUCGCCCAUCGCGUCGGCGUGCGCAUCGGCGGCACGGUGCGGUCGGACAUGUCGUUUGCUGACCUCGCUUACAUGUGCGUCGGCAAUGCGGAAAGCAAGUCGCUGCUCAAGCAGGCGGCGCUGCGCAUGGAGGAGGAGGGCGUGAUGGACAGCGGCAGUGCCGGGGGUGGUACGGCUGGCGAAGGUGAACGUGGGCCAGCGCUGACGGACGGCAGCCGAAGCAUCUUCCGGGUGGCGUAGCCGGUGCGCCUCUCUCUGCGAGGCCGCCGUCGUCUGCUAGCCGUGUCGCUGCCGGGAGUGUUUCGGGCAGUGUUGGUUUCCUUCUUGACCGAUCUCUCUUUCUCUUCUCCGUAUGGUGCGCUAAAUAAGGAAGGGACAAGGGGAAGAAAGGCUGCGGCGGUGAUGGUGGUGGGUGGGCGGCAGCGGCGGCGGCGUGGUGAUGACUGGUUCACGGAUGCCGUUGCCCGUGUCUUCCGUCGCCUCAUCCCCGCCUUCUUCCCGUCUCCACGGCACCUCGCCCCUCUUCGCGCCUGUGCCCAACCGAAUGAACUCUCUAAUCCUCCCCCUCCGUAAUGGUCUUCGGUGAAACGGCAGACACGCUCUGUUUGGGGUGUGUUGGGGGGGGGGGAUUGUCCCGGUUUUGGCUGGUGACGGACGUCUCUGUCGGUUCGGGCGCUGCAGUGCGCCUCCUUCUGUCUCGCUCUUCCAGAUGUCCCGUG
Molecule: unclassified non-coding RNA, 7898 nt
Filed under: Leishmania donovani
Lineage: Eukaryota; Euglenozoa; Kinetoplastea; Trypanosomatida; Trypanosomatidae
Description: gene:LdHU3.08.0510(CDS-product:hypothetical_prote in_conserved)
Source: RNAcentral